This 203-nucleotide long non-coding RNA is filed under the name Lathyrus oleraceus (garden pea). RNAcentral describes it as "Pisum sativum (pea) long non-coding RNA (PSAT_LNC002277)". The record is from RNAcentral. Lineage: Eukaryota; Viridiplantae; Streptophyta; Magnoliopsida; Fabales; Fabaceae.
AAUUUCUGGGAGACAAUUUGAUCUCGUGGGUUAGCAAGAGGCAGUCAACAAUUGCGUUUUUAACAACCAAAGCUUAGCAUUUAGAAACUUCUAGAUGCAACACUUAAUUACUAUAGAUGAAGAGUGAGCUGGAAGAUUAUCAAAUUUUUGAGAGUAACAUUCGUAUUCUUUAUGAUAAUACUUCUACUAUUUGUUUAUCCAAG